RNAcentral lists this ribosomal RNA (756 nucleotides) under uncultured bacterium. RNAcentral describes it as "bacterial SSU rRNA". It matches the Rfam family "Bacterial small subunit ribosomal RNA", at positions 8 to 796 of the family's 1533-position model. The record is from RNAcentral.
AGAGUUUGAUCCUGGCUCAGAAUCAACGCUGGCGGCGCGCUUAACACAUGCAAGUCGCACGAGAAAGUGGAGCAAUCCAUGAGUAAAGUGGCGUACGGGUGAGUAACACGUGGAUCAUUUACCUCUUGGUGGGGAAUAACCCUGGGAAACCGGGGCUAAUACCGCAUAAGCCUGCGAAGGGAAAGCAGCAAUGCGCCGAGAGAGGAGUCCGCGGCCGAUUAGCUUGUUGGUAGGGUAAUGGCCUACCAAGGCAAUGAUCGGUAGCCGGCCUGAGAGGGCACACGGCCACACUGGCACUGAAACACGGGCCAGACUCCUACGGGAGGCAGCAGUGGGGAAUCUUGCACAAUGGGGGCAACCCUGAUGCAGCGACGCCGCGUGAGCGAUGAAGCCCUUCGGGGUGUAAAGCUCUUUCGGCAGGAAAGAUAAUGACGGUACCUGCAGAAGAAGCUGCGGCUAACUACGUGCCAGCAGCCGCGGUAAUACGUAGGCAGCAAGCGUUGUUCGGAGUUACUGGGCGUAAAGAGUGUGUAGGCGGUUCUCUAAGUUCCGUGUGAAAUCUCCCGGCUCAACUGGGAGGGUGCGCGGAAAACUGGAGGGCUUGAGUAUGGGAGAGGAAAGCGGAAUUCCUGGUGUAGCGGUGAAAUGCGUAGAUAUCAGGAGGAACACCUGCGGUGUAGACAGCUUUCUGGACCAUCACUGACGCUGAGACACGAAAGCGUGGGUAGCAAACAGGAUUAGAUACCCCUGUAGUCC